This 529-nucleotide ribosomal RNA is filed under the name Papiliotrema cf. laurentii UFMGCB 6330. Its description in RNAcentral is "eukaryotic LSU rRNA". It matches the Rfam family "Eukaryotic large subunit ribosomal RNA", at positions 137 to 657 of the family's 3401-position model. Lineage: Eukaryota; Fungi; Basidiomycota; Tremellomycetes; Tremellales; Rhynchogastremaceae. The record is from RNAcentral.
UCCGAGUUGUAAUCUAUAGAGGCGUUUUCCGUGCCGGACCGUGUCCAAGUUCCUUGGAACAGGAUAUCAAAGAGGGUGACAAUCCCGUACUUGACACGACGACCGGUGCUCUGUGAUACGUCUUCUACGAGUCGAGUUGUUUGGGAAUGCAGCUCAAAAUGGGUGGUGAGUUCCAUCUAAAGCUAAAUAUUGGCGAGAGACCGAUAGCGAACAAGUACCGUGAGGGAAAGAUGAAAAGCACUUUGGAAAGAGAGUUAAACAGUACGUGAAAUUGUUGAAAGGGAAACGAUUGAAGUCAGUCGUGACCGAGAGGCUCAGCCGGCUCUGCCGGUGUAUUCCCCUCGGUCGGGUCAACAUCAGUUUUGUCCGGUGGAUAAGGGCGGUAGGAAGGUGGCANCCUCGGGUGUGUUAUAGCCUGCCGUCGCAUACAUCGGGUGAGACUGAGGAACGCAGCUCGCCUUUAUGGCCGGGGUUCGCCCACGUCCGAGCUUAGGAUGUUGACAUAAUGGCUUUAAACGACCCGUCUUGA